UAGCUAUUAUUUUUUUUGGGAUGUAGACUGCAUUCAUAUGUAAAAUUUAGCCUUAAAAGUUGAGGGGGUCGUAUUUUUGUUUUUUUAAAAAAGGUGACUGAUCAUGUCCAUUUCUCUUUUUUUAUGACUUUAAUCACCAAAAAAAAUAAAAAAUAAAAAAAUGAAUAUCAAAAGUUUAUACUGGCAAGCAUAACUUUUUUUAGAACGAUUAGUCGCUCAAUAAUUUGAGGCAUUUGAAAAUUAGCCCGUCCUUUUCAAAGGAUUUAUUCUCUUCAUUUUAUAUUUCUAAUUGGAUUCUACUUUUCGAGAGCGGAUAAAACCAUUCAUAUGUAAUGAAUGAACAAGGAUCUACGUUUGUAAAAUAAUAGUUUGCAUUAUUAAACU
Schizosaccharomyces pombe (fission yeast) is the source of this 384-nucleotide non-coding RNA. The record is from the annotation of a GenBank genome assembly. NCBI's taxonomy places the organism in Eukaryota, Fungi, Ascomycota, Schizosaccharomycetes, Schizosaccharomycetales, Schizosaccharomycetaceae.